UUUUAGCAAAAUUGGCAUGUUUUAGGGAUUUAUAAGCAAUUUUACAACAAAUUUUUCAGAACUUUAGGUCAACUUCAGCGCUCUUUCAUAGUUCCUUAAUAAAAUUUCCAGUCCUUUAGCAAGAUCAACAUUUUGCAAAUAGCUUUUGCAUUUUCAGCAAAUCCCUACAGAAAUUAAAGUAAAUUGCGUCACCAUUUUCAGCAAAAAGCUGCUUCAACAUCUUCACCGAUUACUUUAAGCGAAAUGCGUAGCAUCAUCGCAGGUAAUGCAACUUUUCUAGUUUUAUUUCAUUUCCUCAGGCAUUUUUUAUUUGCUGCUUUAAUUCUCUUUCUUUUCUACAAUCACAGGAAGAACCAGGAAUCCUUCAGGCUGUGAGAAAACAACUGUUUGCAAAAAAACACAUAAAACUGCUCUUCACUCACAGUGUAAAUUGAAUAUCUUAAGUUUACUCUGGUUUCUACAGGCAGCCAAUGAGAAAGAACGAUGUCCUCCACCACCUUCCGUGAGUUAUGAAAGAGGCUGGUGAUCAGAAAUUAGAAUGAAAAAUGUAUGAACAACUUUUCCCAUCAUUGUGAAACAUGUUUCUGAUUUUAUGAGGAUCAUCUGAAAGAUGAACUUUUGAAACAAAAAGUAAAACCUGUCAGUUAAUUGCCAUAAUUUUGGCAUUUUUGACACAUAAUUGCAAGGAUAUGGACAUUGUGCAAAGAGUGUUGCUUGGACACAAAAGGCUCUCGCACUGACCUUUUAAUGCGAGUGUCUGAAGAAAUGAAGUCUAGAGAGGCUUAUGACAAGGUGUUUGAAAACAUCUGGGCUGCAUCAGGUAACUCUAUAUGCUGCAAAUCACAAUAUUCUAAUAUCUAUACAAUGUGUAAUGUCACAAAGAAUAACUAAUAAUUUCCAUGUGUUUUAGGAGGUUGGGCUGCCAUCAUGUCCCCUUGUGGCAUCAUUUACAGUAUUAAAUGUAACCUACGAGCAGAAAGUCCAUGGGAUUUUACAGAUAUGCCCCUGUCUUGGAAGCAUCUGCCUAACAUUAUAAUAUAUGACUUUUCCCGUGGACUUGCGACCCACACAAACCUGAUGAAUCCAACAACUUUUACAUCUUUUGAGGGAUGGUUGCUUAACUCAACCCCAGAAAAUAUUACAAAAGCAAAAUCAGGAAACCUACAAGUGCAACUGCCGUGGCUCACUACAAAAAACUAACUCCAGAUCAAAAUGACCAUCCAAUAACUGGUUCUGCUGAACAUUAUGUUUUUUACGAUCAUUUUCAUGAGGGCAACACAAAGGACAAAGAUUGACUGGGUAAUACCUCCCUCUUUUGCAUUUGUGUUUUAAAUCUGGCACUGUUUAUCUUUCUGUCUGUUUGUUUAUUUAUUGAUUUAUUUAGUGCAUUGAUGCACCAGUUGGUAAGUAGCUACAUUUUGCAGGUUGUCUUUUGUGUGUGUUUUUUGUCAUUUGGAUGUGUUUUUUUGUUUUUAAGCAACAGUCACAUCACUGCCAGAAAACAUAACAACCGGAACUCCUGAACCAUCCAUGGUCACUGCCGAAGAAACGGCUGAAGAACUCACCACACUGCCUCAAUUUUUGGAACUUCUAAAGCCGUAGGAAAGGGAGUUUGAUCCAGUUCAAGAACAACUGACUAGACGCCAAAAGCAUUUGCUGGACGGUGCGAGCUGACCGCGGAGGACCGCAGCGCUUUGCAUCUGGUGUGAACCACACCACAAGUUAACAACGGCGCUGAAUGGAAGCGUACUCCGUUCUAUGCAGCUUCCACAGCGUAACACAGUCAUUAAAAUCCUGAUGCUUCCCAGA
Long non-coding RNA from Oryzias melastigma (Indian medaka), 1809 nucleotides. RefSeq lists it as uncharacterized. Lineage: Eukaryota; Metazoa; Chordata; Actinopteri; Beloniformes; Adrianichthyidae. The transcript has 2 exons. The record is from RefSeq and is a predicted model, not a curated record.